GAUGAACGCUGGCGGCGUGCUUAACACAUGCAAGUCGAACGAUGAUCCCCAGCUUGCUGGGGGGAUUAGUGGCGAACGGGUGAGUAACACGUGAGUAACCUGCCCUUAACUCUGGGAUAAGCCUGGGAAACUGGGUCUAAUACCGGAUAUGACCUUCCAUCGCAUGGUGGUUGGUGGAAAGCUUUUUGUGGUUUUGGAUG
This 200-nucleotide ribosomal RNA is filed under the name uncultured bacterium. RNAcentral's name for it is "partial 16S ribosomal RNA". It matches the Rfam family "Bacterial small subunit ribosomal RNA", at positions 28 to 227 of the family's 1533-position model. The record is from RNAcentral.